Molecule: ribosomal RNA, 419 nt
Filed under: bacterium
Lineage: Bacteria
Description: partial 16S ribosomal RNA
Rfam family: Bacterial small subunit ribosomal RNA
Source: RNAcentral
UGGGGGAUAUUGCACAAUGGGCGAAAGCCUGAUGCAGCGACGCCGCGUGGGGGAUGAAGGCCUUCGGGUUGUAAACUUCUUUUGCUCUGAACAAGGCAUGCUAAUGGGUGUGUUGAGUGUAGGGGUUGAUUAGCGCCGGCUAACUACGUGCCAGCAGCCGCGGUAAUACGUAGGGCGCGAGCGUUGUCCGGAAUUAUUAGGCGUAAAGGGCUUGUAGGUGGCUGGUUGCGUCUGUCGUUAAAGCUCAUGGCUUAACUGUGGGUUUGCGGUGGGUACGGGCUGGCUCGAGUGCAGUAGGGGAGGCUGGGAUUCCUGGGGUAGCGGUGGAAUGCGCAGAUAUCAGGAGGAAUACCGGUGGCGAAGGCGGGUCUCUGGGCUGUUACUGACACUGAGGAGCGAAAGCAUGGGGGGCGAACAGG